UACGUAGGGGGCAAGCGUUGUCCGGAAUCAUUGGGCGUAAAGAGCGUGUAGGCGGCCAGAUAAGUCCGCUGUGAAAUCUCGAGGCUCAACUUCGAGCUGUCGGUGGAAACUGUCUGGCUAGAGUCCGGAAGAGGAGAAUGGAAUUCCUGGUGUAGCGGUGAAAUGCGCAGAUAUCAGGAAGAACACCCGUGGCGAAGGCGGUUCUCUGGGACGGUACUGGCGCUGAGACGCGAAAGCGUGGGGAGCGAACAGG
This 253-nucleotide ribosomal RNA is filed under the name uncultured bacterium. RNAcentral describes it as "partial 16S ribosomal RNA". It matches the Rfam family "Bacterial small subunit ribosomal RNA", at positions 524 to 776 of the family's 1533-position model. The record is from RNAcentral.